GGGGGGGGAGGGGGGUUGCUGAAGACAGCUUAGCCCACUUCCACUAAUGUAUAAACUAUACUACCUUUCCUAUGAGUUGGAAUUCCCUGUUUUAAAAAUGAUUUGUGACCAUCAGAUUCUAAACCCCGUACCAGCUAAUUAAGUCUAACAUUCUUGUUUUUUAGAUAAUUUUGUUCAAUAUAUAUAAUUACAGGUAUUAAUUAACAAUUUUUGAUAUAAUGUACUGCUCGUCGACUAACUAUAUGGCCUUUAUUAAUGCAUUCUAGUUUUCGCCCAUUUUUUAGUACUCUUCAGCCCCUGUAAAACGGAACGGCUGUUAGUCGUUGUUUGCAUGUAGUUUCGCCACCACCAUUAUCUUUAAAAUGGCACUCUAAGUACUAUAACCAGUACAGCUUAUUGUAGUGUUUAUUGAGCAAAAUAAAAGGCUUUGCAUUCUAUUACCCAGUUUUCUGUCAAACUUUUUUCAUCAUGCGUGACCAAAAAAUAGGAAUCUCUUUGGCAUCCAAAACCCAACACCCUUCAUCUCUCAGAAAAAUAUAAAGUUACACUUCCAUAUUAUAACUCCAAAUCCGAGGCCCGUGUCCCCAGACUAUCAUUACCAUUCAAGGGUGGACUGUUUUUGUCAAAAAAAUGGUUAACAUUCUUUUUCUGUAAUGAUGUUCCUGUAAUAUUCCAGAAUUCCAGGCUAUAUACAAUGUACAUAUCAGUGAUUCCCCUGAGAACAAAUAUUAACUUACAACCCAAAUUGUGUCCCCCUCUUUUUGAACCUGAGGGUACGGUGCGAUUGUUCUGCCUUGGUUCCAGGCUGCAGUUGGCAUGUUGCCCCUAGGAGCAGCCCAUUGGAUUCCGGACUCCCUCUGGCUCAGAUAUUUGGAAUGGUUCUGGUGUCAGUCGGCACCUGCUGGCUGUCGGUUUUAAGAAAGGGAUUAUCAUAUCCCAAAGUGUACCCUUGUUGUCUCAUCUAUUGUUACAGAGGGAUUCAAUCAUGGGUAUGGGAGGGUGGGGAGCUGCAUUAAUCUGAGGUGACAGGAAAAUUAUUUAUAAUUUACGUCAUGAAUAGUACAUUAAAGAGACAUGCAUACAGAAGCAGGUAAAACUCUGAGCAGGAAACCUGUAAAGUUGAAUAGAUUUAUACUGUGUAUUGUGUAUAACUUAGGUGGGCCAGAUCGCUCUACAUUCUGUGUACAGCAGUAAAUCAGGCAGGUCAGGGCUCUCUGUAUACUGUGUACAGCAGUAAAUCAGGCAGGCCACGGCUCUUUGAACACUGUGUACAGCAGUAAAUCAGGCAGGCCGGGGCUCUCUGUAUACUGUGUACAGCAGUAAAUCAGG
Non-coding RNA from Pelobates cultripes (western spadefoot toad), 1329 nucleotides. The record is from the annotation of a GenBank genome assembly. NCBI's taxonomy places the organism in Eukaryota, Metazoa, Chordata, Amphibia, Anura, Pelobatidae.